UGCAGUCGAACGGCAGCACAGAGGAGCUUGCUCCUUGGGUGGCGAGUGGCGGACGGGUGAGGAAUACGUCGGAAUCUGCCUAUUUGUGGGGGAUAACGUAGGGAAACUUACGCUAAUACCGCAUACGACCUACGGGUGAAAGUGGGGGACCGCAAGGCCUCACGCAGAUAGAUGAGCCGACGUCGGAUUAGCUAGUUGGCGGGGUAAAGGCCCACCAAGGCGACGAUCCGUAGCUGGUCUGAGAGGAUGAUCAGCCACACUGGAACUGAGACACGGUCCAGACUCCUACGGGAGGCAGCAGUGGGGAAUAUUGAACAAUGGGCGCAAGCCUGAUCCAGCCAUGCCGCGUGUGUGAAGAAGGCCUUCGGGUUGUAAAGCACUUUUGUCCGGAAAGAAAAGCUUAGGGUUAAUAACCUUGAGUCAUGAUGGUACCGGAAGAAUAAGCACCGGCUAACUUCGUGCCAGCAGCCGCGGUAAUACGAAGGGUGCAAGCGUUACUCGGAAUUACUGGGCGUAAAGCGUGCGUAGGUGGUUUGUUAAGUCUGAUGUGAAAGCCCUGGGCUCAACCUGGGAAUGGCAUUGGAAACUGGCUUACUAGAGUGCGGUAGAGGGGUGUGGAAUUCCCGGU
Molecule: ribosomal RNA, 628 nt
Filed under: uncultured Lysobacter sp.
Lineage: Bacteria; Pseudomonadati; Pseudomonadota; Gammaproteobacteria; Lysobacterales; Lysobacteraceae
Description: bacterial SSU rRNA
Rfam family: Bacterial small subunit ribosomal RNA
Source: RNAcentral